This 256-nucleotide ribosomal RNA is filed under the name uncultured archaeon. Its description in RNAcentral is "partial 16S ribosomal RNA". It matches the Rfam family "Bacterial small subunit ribosomal RNA", at positions 521 to 776 of the family's 1533-position model. The record is from RNAcentral.
UAAUACAGAGGUCCCAAGCGUUGUUCGGAUUCACUGGGCGUAAAGGGUGCGUAGGUGGUCGGAUAAGUCUGAUGUGAAAUCCCGCAGCUUAACUGCGGAACGGCAUUGGAAACUAUCCGCCUCGAGGAAUGGAGGGGAGACUGGAAUACUUGGUGUAGCAGUGAAAUGCGUAGAUAUCAAGUGGAACACCAGUGGCGAAGGCGAGUCUCUGGACAUUUCCUGACGCUGAGGCACGAAAGCCAGGGGAGCAAACGGG